This 1220-nucleotide non-coding RNA is filed under the name Enterocytozoon bieneusi H348. Its description in RNAcentral is "Eukaryotic large subunit ribosomal RNA". It matches the Rfam family "Eukaryotic large subunit ribosomal RNA", at positions 1125 to 2781 of the family's 3401-position model. Lineage: Eukaryota; Fungi; Microsporidia; Enterocytozoonidae. The record is from Rfam by way of RNAcentral.
CGUACGCCUUGUGGUAAGCAUGCGGCGCAAAAAGGGAUGAACCUAGCAGUGGGGUAAGGUGCCUAAAGGAAAACAAAGAGAAAAAGCGUUUGGCAGAUUAGGACAGUGGGGCGGUGGCCAUGGAGGUCGGCAUCCGCUAAGAAACGUGUUACAACGUACCCACCGAAUCUGCGAAUGCUGAAAAUGGAUGGCGCUUAUUUCCAUACCGAGCCCCACAUGGUACAGCCACGUAGGCCGGCACGUGUGCAUCUGAGAAGACCCGCCGUGAGGUGUGUUGGAGAUGUUCACGGAGCAGAUCUUGGAAGUAGUAGCAUCAUUUGUAUGUGCCAAUGGAGGCGGGUUUGUCCUUUUAAUAGAAGGAAGUGAUACGAGCCUAGUAAAAGGGAAUAUAGUAGAUAUUCUAUAUAGAUGUACCUAUGUGGCGACACGACAGCGACCCCAACGACGUGUGCCGGUGAGAAUUUUCCGGGACACCCAGAUCUUAUGAGCGUCACGCUGAGACUAAGAACGAGUUGGGCGGUGAAAAUGAAGGAACAUCCUCGUACCGAACCGCAACAGGACUCCUAGGUGAGAAGCCUAAGGCAUAAUUGUAAUGUGAGCAAGGGAAAUCGGCAAAAUGGAUGAAAAACCUCGGGAUAAUCAUUGGCUCUAGCAUGCUAGAACUGGGCUUACAAGGGGAAUCUGACUGUUUAAUAAAAACAUAGCUUUGUGUGUACGCAAAGUGAAUUCUGCCCAGUGCUUGGGACGUUAAGGAAGUAAUUUUAAGUACGCACCUGUAAACGGCGGGAGUAACUAUGACUCUCUUAAGGUAGCCAAAUGCCUCGUCGCCUAAUUAGCGACGCGCAUGAAUGGAGCACGAGAUUCCCACUGUCCCUGCUCACAGAUUUGCGAACCUACAGCCAAGGGAACGGGCUUGGGACAUGCAGCGGGGAAAGGAGACCCUGUUGAGCUUGACUCUAGCCCAGCACAGGCCUCUGUGACUAUAUCGUAGCGAGGUGGGAGAAAUGUGUGAGACCACUGACAUAGUCGGCGGGGGCACUCGCAAAGCUUGGUGGGGAAUUUGGCUUGGGCGGCCCGACUACUAAAACAUAACGUAAACUUCCAAAGGUAACCUUCGAGGGGAAGGGAACCACUCCGAAAAUUUAAGGGCAAAAGCUUGCUUUAAGUUUUAAGGUAAAAUAAAAAAACGGGGAAACAGGGGCCUCAAAAAUUCUUCUUUA